UACGUAGGGUGCAAGCGUUGUCCGGAAUUAUUGGGCGUAAAGAGCUCGUAGGCGGUUUGUCGCGUCGACUGUGAAAACCCGAGGCUUAACCUCGGGCCUGCAGUCGAUACGGGCAGACUAGAGUUCGGUAGGGGAGACUGGAAUUCCUGGUGUAGCGGUGAAAUGCGCAGAUAUCAGGAGGAACACCGGUGGCGAAGGCGGGUCUCUGGGCCGAUACUGACGCUGAGGAGCGAAAGCGUGGGGAGCGAACAGGAUUAGAAACCCUCGUAGUCC
RNAcentral lists this ribosomal RNA (273 nucleotides) under uncultured bacterium. RNAcentral describes it as "partial 16S ribosomal RNA". It matches the Rfam family "Bacterial small subunit ribosomal RNA", at positions 524 to 796 of the family's 1533-position model. The record is from RNAcentral.